GAUGAAUGCUGGCGGCGUGCUUAACACAUGCAAGUCGAACGGGAAACCUUUUAUUGAAGCUUCGGCAGAUUUAGCUGGUUUCUAGUGGCGGACGGGUGAGUAACGCGUGGGUAACCUGCCUUAUACAGGGGGAUAACAGUCAGAAAUGGCUGCUAAUACCGCAUAAGCGCACAGAGCUGCAUGGCUCAGUGUGAAAAACUCCGGUGGUAUAAGAUGGACCCGCGUUGGAUUAGCUGGUUGGUGGGGUAACGGCCCACCAAGGCGACGAUCCAUAGCCGGCCUGAGAGGGUGAACGGCCACAUUGGGACUGAGACACGGCCCAGACUCCUACGGGAGGAAGCAGUGGGGAAUAUUGCACAAUGGGGGAAACCCUGAUGCAGCGACGCCGCGUGAAGGAAGAAGUAUCUCGGUAUGUAAACUUCUAUCAGCAGGGAAGAUAAUGACGGUACCUGACUAAGAAGCCCCGGCUAACUACGUG
This 478-nucleotide ribosomal RNA is filed under the name uncultured bacterium. RNAcentral describes it as "partial 16S ribosomal RNA". It matches the Rfam family "Bacterial small subunit ribosomal RNA", at positions 28 to 507 of the family's 1533-position model. The record is from RNAcentral.